Molecule: non-coding RNA, 2696 nt
Organism: Oryctolagus cuniculus (rabbit)
Lineage: Eukaryota; Metazoa; Chordata; Mammalia; Lagomorpha; Leporidae
Source: RefSeq, a predicted model, not a curated record
UGUACGGAGGGGUGGGAGCACUCGAGGGGGAAGCAGGCCGUCAGGCUGGGUGGGAGUGUGGGGCCGUGAUGGUGGUCUUGGGAGCUGGGCUGGAGAGGGUCCAGCCAGCGUGCUGGCAGCCCUAGCAGGGCGGGAUGGCAGUGCGUGUGGUGAGGACGCUCAUCAGGGGUGCGUGAGGGGGAGCUGGGCUUCACUUCUGAGCCUCCACUCCAGAGUCCUCUCCUCGCUCCCACCCCUCACUGUGCAGCCUGACCUGCACGUGGACGGUCACUCCCCAGCCCCCGCUGUGUCCCCUGCCCACAGUGGGUGGAUUCGGGGGCCACCACCUAACUAGUGGUGAGUCCUGGAUCGCCAGGCUCAGUUCCUGUAGAGAGGGAGCCCCCAGGGAUCCAGAUCUGCCUCUCAGGUGUGGGUGUUCAUGGCUGCUGCCUCCGGAGUCUCUCGUUGUCAAUGUGGGCCAGUGGCAUCGGUGGCCUCAGCGUAGAGACCCAGGAGUUAGCAGGAUCUGCCAUUUCAUGGAGAGAUGAUUUGAGGAACAGACCUGGGUUUUCAUCCUUUGUGUGCCUGCUGUGUCUCUUAGGGCAGGACAGGUGUUGACAUUAAACAAAUGUGAGCAAAUAUCUGGUGGUCCAUUUUCUAUACAGAAUGGACAAUUACACCUCACUGACUUGCAGAUGUAUCAUAAUUCACUAGGCAAACUGAAUUUUUAUGGAGUAGUCAAUCCACACGUGGAUAUGAAAUACACAGCAGGAAGGUUGAAGGUAACUUAGGUGAUGUGUGGGAAUAUUGUCACCCCAGAGAACUCAGGGGAUGAGGGCUGGGGAGGGGCCUGUGUGAUAGGAUGUAAAUUUCUUGUUAAUUGCUUCAGCUGUGCUUGCUCAGCAGCCUCUGAUCUUGCAAGGCCAACAAUAAAGUCUGACUUUCAGUGCAUUUCCUGAGUUCAGCUCCUCAGGGGACCGCUGAGGACAUUUCCACAAGCCUCCAGGCUUGUCCUGGGUGAGGACUCCAGCAGACGUGUCCUACCUGAUUUUGUACGGCCUGCUCUGUCCAGGUGCCCUGGGUCCCCACAGAAGCUGCAGAAAAACUUGAGAGUGCUAUUCAACAGACAGCAGAGGUGACGCAGGAAAGAAAAAGCCGGCACCAGGGCCACCAGGCAGUCUAGUGCACCAGUCAAGUCAGGGAAAAUGGACUGGAGCCAGACGAGCGCAAGUGAGGAGCAGCUGGAGCUGCGAGAAGUGUUAGAGUGCGAUCUUCGUGGCUGCAGCUGAUCGUUCCUCACCACAAUUCUAAAUUCUCCACCUAGGAGAGGACUGUGCCACCCCUUCUGAGGAUGCAAAGUAUGAAGAUGUGUGUUGCUUAUAUGUAUGAGCCAGGGGUGGGAGGGCAUCCCCCUCCCCUUUCCUACAUCUUGGAUGUCCCUAACCCUCACUAAGAAAGCCCUGGCAAACUGCUUCUUAGAGAGGCAGUUUGUUCGGGGAGCUAAACUUUCCCACAGUCUCCUUUGUUUGUUACAGUAGAUAAAGCUCCCCCACCCCAAGCAGCUCCCCUGGAGACUGAUUAUUGGGUGACACCAAGCAAAUGGAGCCCUUGAGUCCAUUAACAAAAUUGGUGACCCAUGCGGAGCCAUCCCCAGCCUAGGAUCCAGAGAACCAGGAACUGGGAGCAAAGCAGUUGACGCAGUGUUUGUCAAGGCUUGCAGUUGUCAUAUCUGUCCGUGUAGGAGCUGUCACUCAGUCCUGCCAGCCAGUGUUGCUGACUGAGCCACCCAAGGGAUGGAGAGCAGCCGGCCUCCUCUCUGUCCACAACUUGCCAGAAACAAAGGCUGAGUGAUUGGGGAUCGCUGCUUUGUUAGUGUCUCAGAGUUGCUGCGAGCCUAGCCAGGACAGGAAGUGCCUGAAGCCAGGACAGGAAGUGGCCAAAGCCAGGACAGGAAGUGGCCAAAGCCAGGACAGGAAGUGCCCGAAGCCAGGACAGGAAGUGCCCUAUCAGGAGGACCAGGAUCUGAAUGCUGGGCUUCGCUCUGGGAGAUGGAGCAGCACAAAAGGAGCGGUCCCAGCAGUCCCCAAGCCCUGUUUCUGGGCUACUUGACCCCAUCCUGCCCUGAUUGACAGGUGAAGGCCUAGAGACCUCCCCAGGAACCGGUCGACUCCAGUGACGGGGUGUUGAAUGACUCCGUGUUGGCCACAGUCCUUCCCUCUGGAGCCUGCCCCAGCAGUGCUGUGGGUGAGCAGCCUCCCAGUGCCCUCCAGCUGUCAGUCAGAGCAGCUGCCAAGGGAGGGGCACUGAGCCUCACUGUGCAUGGGAGGGAAGGCCAGAGCAGGCAGCAGGAGAGCCUGCAGGAGCCAUCUGAGCAAAGAACUGAACACAGGGACUCGAGUCCCGUCCCCGCGUGUGCCCAGCAGCACUGCUCAGCACGGCAGGAGGGGCCCAGCCCUGACGCCCCCAGCAGAGGAAGAGGCAGGCGCCAGCAGGUGGGUCGGUGCAGUGGAGCAGCGCUCAGCCAUGAACAGGAGUGGGGUCUGGCACCGCAGCUGCCCGGAGGAACCAUGAACACUGCCAGUGAGGUCAGAUGCACGAAGUCACGAGUGCGAGAUUUCAUUUCCAUCCAGCGUCCCAAGCAGGCAGUGCUGUAGACACAGGGGAUGGUCAGUGCUGGGGCGGGGGGUUAGCAUGGGGCUGAGGAGAGACCAGGAGUA